UAAAAUGGGAAGAAACUAAGUUGAUCUACCUGGUAUCAAGUAACAUGAGGAUGUAACCUAGAGUAUUUGUACUCACACCUCAGCUGUUGAUCAUUACCAGACACAGAAGAUCGGUUUUGAUGCACCGAGGAGCUGAGCUAACGCUACCAGCUUUUAUGAGAGCACCCGAUCUUACUGGCUAAUUACAGACAUUUGAAAUUGAUUCUGUGUGAAGGCAAGCAACAGCUGGUAUAUUCAAACCUGCAUCAAGCAGCCCUUGUACGUAUAAUUGCUACAACUGAAAACUAACAGAACCCCUAGAAAAAUGAGUCUGUAAGGGAAUACUGGGAAUAAUUCAAACACAAUCAUAGUAAUUUAUGCAGAAACAAACACAAACAAAUGACAGGCUGAUAGAGAAGCCUGGAAAAGAGAAGGGUCCAAGGAGACCUUAUAGCCUUCCUGUACCUGAAGGGACCUACAGGAAAGCUGGAGAGGGACUUUUUAGAAGGGCACAUAGUGACAGGAUGAGGGGAAAUGGUUUCAAACUGGAAGAGGGUAGAUUUAGACUGGAUAUCAGGAAGAAAUUCUUUACUGUGAGGGUAGUGAGACACUGGAACAGGUUGUGUUCACAGUGAGGUUGUGGAUGCCCCCUCCCUGGAAGCAUUCAAGGCCAGGCUGGGUGGGGCUUUGAACAACCUGGUCUAGAGGGAGGUGUGCCUGCAUAUAGCAGCAGGAUGGAACUACAUGAUCUUAAAUGUCCCUUCCAACCCAAAUCAUUCUGUGAUUCUGCGAUUCUGUAAUUCUAGUUGUCUCCCUUGCUUUUGGCUGCCAUCAGUAAGCACUGAGAUCAGGAACUGGUGCUGAGGUGAGACAGGAAUGCUGGCUUAGGAUCUCCUUCUGGCCUUGGAAUCUGGAAGUGCUCUAUUAGUCUCAUGGCAAAGUACUGAGCUCAUGACUUCUUCUGCUGGAAGCACAACAGCAUCUGGAAGGAAUACAGCAGACUGUGAGAGCAUUCCACAUCCCAGAGAGGUGUAUUCAGAGAGGGAUGCCAGUCUUUAGGCUUUAUAUCCCUUUACCCUAUUUAACAAAAAUUUCUUACUUAUUGAGGUCACAGCUCUGGUGCCACCCUCUGAGAAUGCAGCACAGGCCCACCAGCCCUUCUCUGCUUACAAGGAAAUGUUUAUUUCCAUAACAUAACUCAUGGAACAAAACUGGGCAUCAUUAUCACUAAGGACAUUUCUUACAAAACCUUGCUAGCAAAAGUAAUUUCAAACAUCUGUCAUAUCUAGGACAGUUACAUUCAUCUGGCCAAAGAAUGUGUGAAAGGGACCUUAAAGCCAUCCUCUUCCAGGACUGCUCACAAGAGCUGAAGAUCGAGGUCCUCAAAAUGGCCCAUUCUGAAGGUACAGAAGUACCUACAGUGACUUCUGCAUCACAGCCUCGAGGUGCAUGACUUGGUUUGUCAUCCGCCUCCUCUGUCUUUUACCAAUAUUUCUAAUGAAACUUCCUCUUCACAGCAGCCACCCACCAGGAUUCCCUGUUCGUUCUGGGGGAGGACAGCCCAUCAACACAAGAUUUUGUAUGUGCUUAGUGAGAUACAGGGAUCCUGACAGGCAGGUAGAGACUGGGGGAAUUUGAUGGCAGCAGAGUUGCAGACUUCAACGUGCUCAAGUGACAUUUUUUCUAAAUGUCAUUGUAUAGACAAAAUGAAGUGAAAGAGGUAUUUUUCCAGCUUAUUUUUUCUCUUCCUUUUUCUAACAUUGAUGAGUUAUUAAGAUACUUCCCAGGUUAUUUUAAUCUCAGUGGGUCAGAGUUGCUUUUUCAAUCUUUUAACAGAGAACAGAGAAGUUACCUGCCCUUAUAGCCUCAUGCGGUGAGCUCAUGGUGGAAGCAGGAAGACCUUUUCGUGGUCCCACCUCUGUCCCAAAGUGCACAGCCAAACCAGAGAUAGGGCUUGGGGGAGUCAAAGGUAUAGAAAACCUCCCAUCAUCACAUCAUCUUAGUGUGUAAAAGUAGACAGUGUGGAGAAGACACCAGUCCCAUUUUAUGCCAGGG
RNAcentral lists this long non-coding RNA (2034 nucleotides) under Gallus gallus (chicken). RNAcentral's name for it is "lncRNA (ENSGALG00010010079.1)". Lineage: Eukaryota; Metazoa; Chordata; Aves; Galliformes; Phasianidae. The record is from RNAcentral.